AACCCUGUCUCAGUUCGGAUUGGAGUCUGCAACUCGACUCCAUGAAGCUGGAUUCGCUAGUAAUCGCGCAUCAGCCAUGGCGCGGUGAAUACGUUCCCGGGCCUUGUACACACCGCCCGUCAAGCCAUGGGAGUCGGGGGUACCUGAAGUGCGUAACCGCAAGGAGCGCCCUAGGGUAAAACUGGUGAUUGGGGCUAAGUCGUAACAAGGUACC
This 214-nucleotide ribosomal RNA is filed under the name uncultured bacterium. Its description in RNAcentral is "partial 16S ribosomal RNA". It matches the Rfam family "Bacterial small subunit ribosomal RNA", at positions 1279 to 1500 of the family's 1533-position model. The record is from RNAcentral.